RNAcentral lists this ribosomal RNA (431 nucleotides) under uncultured bacterium. RNAcentral's name for it is "partial 16S ribosomal RNA". It matches the Rfam family "Bacterial small subunit ribosomal RNA", at positions 29 to 507 of the family's 1533-position model. The record is from RNAcentral.
AACGAACGCUGGCGGCAGGCUUAACACAUGCAAGUCGAGCGCCCCGCCAGGGGAGCGGCAGACGGGUGAGUAACGCGUGGGAACGUACCUUUUGGUUCGGAACAACUCCGGGAAACUGGAGCUAAUACCGGAUAAGCCCUAACGGGGAAAGGUUUAUCGCCGAAAGAUCGGCCCGCGUCUGAUUAGCUAGUUGGUGAGGUAACGGCUCACCAAGGCGACGAUCAGUAGCUGGUCUGAGAGGAUGAUCAGCCACACUGGGACUGAGACACGGCCCAGACUCCUACGGGAGGCAGGAGUGGGGAAUAUUGGACAAGGGGCGCAAGCCUGAUCCAGCCAUGCCGCGUGAGUGAUGAAGGCCUUAGGGUUGUAAAGCUCUUUUGUCCGGGAAGAUAAUGACUGUACCGGAAGAAUAAGCCCCGGCUAACUUCGUG